This 235-nucleotide long non-coding RNA is filed under the name Homo sapiens (human). RNAcentral's name for it is "non-protein coding lnc-IL17A-5:1". Lineage: Eukaryota; Metazoa; Chordata; Mammalia; Primates; Hominidae. The record is from RNAcentral.
CUUAUUGUAUUCUUCCUCUGCGGCCUUUGUAGCCUGGAAUAGUGUUGAAUAGAUAAUCCUUGCUCUGAAAAAGAUUUCUGGUUGAUCAAAAUUACAAGACUUGAGAUUAUCCAUUAAUGAUGAUAAAAGAAUUAUAACUCAUGGUACCAUUUUUGUAGCUGUGUUAGCUGCUCUCAAAGGGAGAAUUUCAUGGCAGAGGAAGAGGUGGUUGCUAAGGAAAUGACAGAAAAAAAGA